AGGAAGGCCUACAGCAGCAGGGUCUGGCUGUCCUCGUGCACGCUGUGUUGUGUAAGACUUGGCAGGCUGGACUAGAAUAACACCCUUAUUCUCUCUCUCAGAGCUCUGAACUCUUUCACCCUACAGCCCUGUCCUCCCCUCACUCAGCAACAGAAAGCAACAACAACUCAGAGGAGAGGUGCCCUCUCUCUCUCUUUCUCUCUCUCUCUGUCUAUUCCCCCUCUAUCUCUGCUUCCCUUGUGUCGCACUUUCUCUUUCACCUCUCUCCACCUACAUGCACGUCUCUCGUUCACUCGCCUCGUUCUCUUACCCACAGUGAGCGAGAAUGAACGCACACGGCUCUCACGCGCUGCUCUGCUCCGUGCCGCCUAUAUGUGCCCGUGCUGUGCCUGUUUCCCUACAGGCUUUGCAUUCUCUCGGCCGUCGGUCAGACUCGGCGCUGGAGUCUUGCAUUACUCACCUUUCUGCUGUACCUGUGGGUACUCCACAGUUCUGCUACCUGUUCGCCUCUCUGAAACUUUAUCACAAGCAUACUGGAGGAAAUGUGAGGAUCAAAGGAUGAGGGGGAGUUUUGGAAGGGGGAUUGGACAGGUGUGAGUGAGUGAAAAUAAGUGUGCACAAAUUUUCUUUGUGUCUGUCUGUGUGUAGGUGUAGCAAUCCAGCAUUUAUCAUGUGUUUUAAUCAUAAUUGUGUGGGCUUCUGUGGGCACGAGAGAGCAGUGCUUGCCAUAAAUCCGAACAAAGGGUGUGUACACAUGUUAAUCUGGCUAUCCCUGUUGAAAUUUGUGAAAGUUUUGUCUUUUUAACCCCUUAAAAAUGCUAGUAUUUUUUAUAUUAUUUAGAAUAAUCAGGAGCAGAAAUACAAGAUUUCCUUUAACUGCCGUGUUUGUUUUGGUAACUGACAUUACUUAAUGUAGUGACUAUACAGUAACUACUGGAGCAAAUCUGUACAGGAUUGUAAAAAAUAAGUUAACAAAACCUGUACAAUGUAAAAUACUGUAAAUAGGGCAUUUCAGCUCAUGUCCAUGCACUGAAUAUUUGUUUUUUAGCUGCAUGUUAUCAUAAAAAACAUAUAAAAAUCAUAUCUUUUGUACAUACCACAUUUGUUGUUUUCCAGCAUAAAAAAUAAAGAAAAUAAUCAGUAAGUUGUGC
RNAcentral lists this long non-coding RNA (1151 nucleotides) under Astyanax mexicanus (Mexican tetra). Its description in RNAcentral is "lncRNA (ENSAMXG00005009901.1)". The record is from RNAcentral. Lineage: Eukaryota; Metazoa; Chordata; Actinopteri; Characiformes; Acestrorhamphidae.